Long non-coding RNA from Corylus avellana, 223 nucleotides. RefSeq lists it as uncharacterized. NCBI's taxonomy places the organism in Eukaryota, Viridiplantae, Streptophyta, Magnoliopsida, Fagales, Betulaceae. The record is from RefSeq and is a predicted model, not a curated record.
AGUGGCCUGGAGGGUUUCAAUGUAACUCUUGACUGAUUAUCCUUCAUCGCCAUCAUAUAUUGAUCUCUGCAGUUGUGUGAGACCAAGAUUCAGUGAGAUCCAGAUCCAGCUGCACUAAUUCGUUCUAGAACGGAAAAUGAAGAAUUAUUCCGGGCGGUCUACAAGCUUUGAUAUUCGGCUGUCUAAUCAAUUCACGUGCCUAAACCCUUCCGGUGACGCAAGA